GUUUACAGAACACCUUUUAUUUGGUUCAUUAUGUUGGAACCAUAAAACAACACUGAGUUAGGCAGAGAAGAACUUAAGAUGCAGGGAGUUUUUUGUAUCCGCUUUAUUCAUUCCCUUUUCUAACCCUGCUCUGAGCAGCUGGGAAGAGAAUGCGGAGAAGGAGGGCAGAUGUGGGCGCAGCGAAAGAAGAGGAACCUGCUGUGAAGGCCUCUCUUGAAAUAGCUGAUGAAUAAAUCCUUACAAAGUAAGGAGAUAAGUAGAACCAAAGAACCUAUGGAUUGGAAGAAUGGACUGGGAAGGAUAGAGACAGAAUGGAAGAUUGUCAUCAGUCUAGAAGCAAUAUGGAAAAGUGGUAGAUGGAUAAGGAAGGAAAUGGCAGGUGGGAAAAAUGUAGAGACUGAAUAGAAGGUUGUGAUGAGACUAGAGGCAAUAUGAAAAAGUUAUAUCAAAAAAAAAAAAAGGCAAAAACAACAGGGAUUUUAGAAGCCAGAUGGAGCUGGGAUCCUGGUGUCACUUCGGAGCUAGCUCUAUGACCUUGGGAAGGUCAACGGAGAUGGGCAAGGGGAGGUAAAGAGUCAAUGACACCUGGCAGGAACGGCGGAAGUGAAAUUGGGAAAGCUGCAGGAGGGCCGUGACUCGGAAGUCAAGGAAGGAAGGAGAAGUGAAGAGGAGCUCAUUAACAGGUCAAAUGCUAUAGAGAGGUAGCCAGUGACAAUAGAAAAGCAGGCUACUGGAUUUACAGAACCAGUCUGUUGGGAUGGAUCUACCUCCGGGAGUUGUUUUGGAAAUUUACCAGAGUGAUUUUCCUUGUCCCAGGGACUGGGGAGAACUACUGGAAUGUAGUUGGUGGGGCCAAAAGAUGCUAGAUAUCUUGCAGUGCCCAGGCUAGUACGCCAUAGCAAAGAAUUUCCUACAUGCUGUGUGACGACUAUUCUACUGUCCAUUCGUGUAGAUCAAAAACCUAUUUAUAUUUAUCGGAGCCUAGAAUCUCUUUUAUAUAUAAACAUAAAGUGUUUUUCACACA
Callorhinus ursinus (northern fur seal) is the source of this 1024-nucleotide non-coding RNA. The record is from RefSeq and is a predicted model, not a curated record. Lineage: Eukaryota; Metazoa; Chordata; Mammalia; Carnivora; Otariidae.